AUUGAACGCUGGCGGCAGGCCUAACACAUGCAAGUCGAGCGGAUGAAGGGAGCUUGCUCCUGGAUUCAGCGGCGGACGGGUGAGUAAUGCCUAGGAAUCUGCAUGGUAGUGGGGGAUAACGUCCGGAAACGGGCGCUAAUACCGCAUACGUCCUGAGGGAGGAAGUGGGGGAUCUUCGGACCUCACGCUAUCAGAUGAGCCUAGGUCGGAUUAGCUAGUUGGUGGGGUAAAGGCCUACCAAGGCGACGAUCCGUAACUGGUCUGAGAGGAUGAUCAGUCACACUGGAACUGAGACACGGUCCAGACUCCUACGGGAGGCAGCAGUGGGGAAUAUUGGACAAUGGGCGAAAGCCUGAUCCAGCCAUGCCGCGUGUGUGAAGAAGGUCUUCGGGUUGUAAAGCACUUUAAGUUGGGAGGAAGGGCAGUAAGUUAAUACCUUGCUGUUUUGACGUUACCAGCAGAAGAAGCACCGGCUAGCUUCGUG
Molecule: ribosomal RNA, 484 nt
Filed under: uncultured bacterium
Lineage: Bacteria
Description: partial 16S ribosomal RNA
Rfam family: Bacterial small subunit ribosomal RNA
Source: RNAcentral